GGGGGCAUUCGUGAUUGGGAUUAAAUUAAGGAUAAAAUUAGGUCAAUGAUUAGAAAUCUAUAGUGCUCUACACAAAAAGGCUAAAAUUUUAAUGAGGAAAUAUUUGGAGUAUUGUGUGGGUCCACAUAUGUCAUGGUCCUAGUUUAUUUGGUUUUGAUUGUGGGUUGGAUUUAUUUUGUUUAUUGUUAAGGUGUUCCUUGUUAUUCUCUUAUCCCCUGCAUUGUAAAUGUCUUCUUUAUGCAGAUAGGUUAACAGGCUAGGAAUUUAGUGAGGAGAUAAUUGAUCAAUUGAUGGGGGUUAAUAAUUGUCCAAAUUCUAAUCACAUGUUUUGAGGGACCACAGCAACAACAUUAUAUUUAAUUUGCAGGCCAUUAUUUAGUAUGUGAUGACAGUGUCUAGAUAAGUAGACUGUUUUAUCAAAAAAUGUGAGGGUGAAGGAGGAGGUUUGAUUUGUAAUCUGGCAUUUGGGUGCCACUUUUAAGAGUCUGUGCAGGAGCAUAGAUUGUUUUUGUUUGUUUUUAAAGAUAUAUUUAACAGUUUAUCUCGGUGCAGUAAGGAUAUAGCAAUUUUGAAAGACUUAAAAUUAAAAGCAAAAUUA
Long non-coding RNA from Syngnathus acus (greater pipefish), 598 nucleotides. RefSeq lists it as uncharacterized. The record is from RefSeq and is a predicted model, not a curated record. Lineage: Eukaryota; Metazoa; Chordata; Actinopteri; Syngnathiformes; Syngnathidae. The transcript has 2 exons.